RNAcentral lists this ribosomal RNA (944 nucleotides) under Polytolypa hystricis. RNAcentral's name for it is "eukaryotic LSU rRNA". It matches the Rfam family "Eukaryotic large subunit ribosomal RNA", at positions 61 to 1023 of the family's 3401-position model. The record is from RNAcentral. Lineage: Eukaryota; Fungi; Ascomycota; Eurotiomycetes; Onygenales.
GAAACCAACAGGGAUUGCCUCAGUAACGGCGAGUGAAGCGGCAAAAGCUCAAAUUUGAAAUCUGGCUCCUUCGGGGCCCGAGUUGUAAUUUGCAGAGGAUGCUUCGGGGGCGGUUGCGGUCUAAGUUCCCUGGAAAGGGGCAUCGUAGAGGGUGAGAAUCCCGUCUUCGGCCGGCUAACCGCGCCCGUGUGAAGCUCCUUCGACGAGUCGAGUUGUUUGGGAAUGCAGCUCUAAAUGGGUGGUAAAUUUCAUCUAAAGCUAAAUAUUGGUGGGAGACCGAUAGCGCACAAGUAGAGUGAUCGAAAGAUGAAAAGCACUUUGAAAAGAGAGUUAAACAGCAUGUGAAAUUGUUGAAAGGGAAGCGCUUGCAGCCAGAUUCGGCCGCGGAGGCUCAGCGGGCAUUCUUGCCUGUGCACUCCCCCGCGGUCCGGGCCAGCAUCAGUUUAGGCGGCCGGUCAAAGGCCCCCGGAAUGUGUCGCCCUUCGGGACGUCUUAUAGCCGGGGGUGCAAUGCGGUCAGCCCGGACUGAGGAACGCGCUUCGGCACGGAUGCUGGCAUAAUGGCUGUAAGCGGCCCGUCUUGAAACACGGACCAAGGAGUCUAACAUCCACGCGAGUGUUCGGGUGUCAAACCCGUCCGCGCAGUGAAAGCGAACGGAGGUGGGAGCCCUUAAGGGUGCACCAUCGACCGAUCCUGAAGUCUUCGGAUGGAUUUGAGUAAGAGCGUGACUGUUGGGACCCGAAAGAUGGUGAACUAUGCCUGAAUAGGGUGAAGCCAGAGGAAACUCUGGUGGAGGCUCGCAGCGGUUCUGACGUGCAAAUCGAUCGUCAAAUUUGGGUAUAGGGGCGAAAGACUAAUCGAACCAUCUGGUAGCUGGUUCCUGCCGAAGUUUCCCUCAGGAUAGCAGUAGCGUUUUCAGUUUUAUGAGGUAAAGCGAAUGAUUA